RNAcentral lists this ribosomal RNA (259 nucleotides) under uncultured bacterium. RNAcentral's name for it is "partial 16S ribosomal RNA". It matches the Rfam family "Bacterial small subunit ribosomal RNA", at positions 1 to 290 of the family's 1533-position model. The record is from RNAcentral.
GAUUAGAGUUUGAUCCUGGCUCAGAACGUACGCUGGCGGCACGCCUAACACAUGCAAGUCGAACGAAGUAGCAAUACUUAGUGGCAGACGGGUGAGUAACAUGUGGGUAUCUGCCCUUUGGCCUGGAAUAACACGAGGAAACUUGUGCUAAUACCGGAUAAGUCUUUACGGAGAAAGCUUUAUGCACCAUUGGAUGAGCCCGCACUUGAUUAGUUUGUUGGUGGGGUAAUGGCCUACCAAGACUGUGAUCAAUAGCUGA